This 80-nucleotide transfer RNA is filed under the name Nocardia brasiliensis. Its description in RNAcentral is "tRNA-Ser(gga)". The record is from RNAcentral. Lineage: Bacteria; Bacillati; Actinomycetota; Actinomycetes; Mycobacteriales; Nocardiaceae.
CCGCGGGUGGCCGAGCGGUUCGGCCGCUGCCUGCUGGAACUGGGCGGCAACAACGGCGCGAUCGUCACGCCUUCAGCGGA